This 497-nucleotide ribosomal RNA is filed under the name uncultured bacterium. RNAcentral's name for it is "partial 16S ribosomal RNA". It matches the Rfam family "Bacterial small subunit ribosomal RNA", at positions 28 to 507 of the family's 1533-position model. The record is from RNAcentral.
GAUGAACGCUGGCGGCGUGCCUAAUACAUGCAAGUCGAGCGAACGGACGAGAAGCUUGCUUCUCUGAUGUUAGCGGCGGACGGGUGAGUAACACGUGGAUAACCUACCUAUAAGACUGGGAUAACUUCGGGGAACCGGAGCUAAUACCGGAUGAUAUUUUGAACCGCAUGGUUCAAAAGUGAAAGACGGUCUUGCUGUCACUUAUAGAUGGAUCCGCGCUGCAUUAGCUAGUUGGUAAGGUAACGGCUUACCAAGGCAACGAUGCAUAGCCGACCUGAGAGGGUGAUCGGCCACACUGGAACUGAGACACGGUCCAGACUCCUACGGGAGGCAGCAGUAGGGAAUCUUCCGCAAUGGGCGAAAGCCUGACGGAGCAACGCCGCGUGAGUGAUGAAGGUCUUCGGAUCGUAAAACUCUGCUAUUAGGGAAGAACAUAUGUGUAAGUAACUGUGCACAUCUUGACGGUACCUAAUCAGAAAGCCACGGCUAACUACGUG